RNAcentral lists this ribosomal RNA (254 nucleotides) under uncultured bacterium. RNAcentral's name for it is "partial 16S ribosomal RNA". It matches the Rfam family "Bacterial small subunit ribosomal RNA", at positions 524 to 776 of the family's 1533-position model. The record is from RNAcentral.
GACGAACCGUGCGAACGUUAUUCGGAAUCACUGGGCUUAAAGCGCGUGUAGGCGGGACGGUACGUCCGUGCCUGAAAUCCCCCGGCUCAACCGGGGAACCGGGCGGGAUACGGCCGUCCUGGAGGGACAUAGGGGGACCUGGAACUUCCGGUGGAGCGGUGAAAUGCGUUGAGAUCGGAAGGAACGCCCGUGGCGAAAGCGAGGUCCUGGAUGUUUUCUGACGCUGAGACGCGAAAGCCAGGGGAGCGAACGGG